This 439-nucleotide ribosomal RNA is filed under the name uncultured bacterium. RNAcentral describes it as "partial 16S ribosomal RNA". It matches the Rfam family "Bacterial small subunit ribosomal RNA", at positions 339 to 795 of the family's 1533-position model. The record is from RNAcentral.
CUACGGGGUGCUGCAGUAGGGAAUCUUAGACAAUGGGGGAAACCCUGAUCUAGCCAUGCCGCGUGAGUGAUGAAGGCCUUAGGGUUGUAAAGCUCUUUCGCUGGGGAAGAUAAUGACGGUACCCAGUAAAGAAACCCCGGCUAACUCCGUGCCAGCAGCCGCGGUAAUACGGAGGGGGUUAGCGUUGUUCGGAAUUACUGGGCGUAAAGCGCGCGUAGGCGGGCUAUUAAGUCAGGGGUGAAAUCCCGGGGCGCAACCCCGGAACUGCCUUUGAUACUGGUAGUCUUGAGUUCGAGAGAGGUGAGUGGAAUUACGAGUGUAGAGGUGAAAUUCGUAGAUAUUCGGAGGAACAUCAGUGGCGAAGGCGACUCACUGGCUCGAUACUGACGCUGAGGUGCGAAAAUGUGGGGAGCAAACAGGAUUAGAUACCCUAGUAGUC